Molecule: ribosomal RNA, 303 nt
Filed under: uncultured Streptococcus sp.
Lineage: Bacteria; Bacillati; Bacillota; Bacilli; Lactobacillales; Streptococcaceae
Description: bacterial SSU rRNA
Rfam family: Bacterial small subunit ribosomal RNA
Source: RNAcentral
GGUUAAGUCCCGCACGAGCGCAACCCCUAUUGUUAGUUGCCAUCAUUCAGUUGGGCACUCUAGCGAGACUGCCGGUAAUAAACCGGAGGAAAGGUGGGGAUGACGUCAGAUCAUCAUGCCCCUUAUGACCUGGGCUACACACGUGCUACAAUGGUUGGUACAACGAGUUGCGAGUCGGUGACGGCGAGCUAAUCUCUUAAAGCCAAUCUCAGUUCGGAUUGUAGGCUGCAACUCGCCUACAUGAAGUCGGAAUCGCUAGUAAUCGCGGAUCAGCACGCCGCGGUGAAUACGUUCCCGGGCCUU